CCCUGAAACCAUGCGCCUACAAGCGGUCGGAGCAUGUUAAAAUGUGACGGCGUGCCUUUUGCAUAAUGAACCUACGAGUUACUCUCGCUGGCAAGGUUAAGCGGUUCAGCCGCGCAGCCGAAGCGAAAGCAAGUCCGAACAAGGCGUACAGUCAGCGGGAGUAGACGCGAAACCAAGUGAUCUACCCUUGGUCAGGUUGAAGGUUGGGUAACACCAACUGGAGGACCGCACCGAUAAGCGUUGAAAAGCUUACGGAUGAACUGAGGGUAGGAGUGAAAGGCCAAUCAAACUUGGAGAUAGCUCGUACUCCCCGAAAUGUAUUUAGGUGCAGCCUCGGAGAGAAUCUGACGGAGGUAGAGCGACUGAUAGGAUGCGAGGGCUUCACCGCCUAUCAAGUCCUGACAAACUCCGAAUGCACGUCGGCCAAGCCAUGGAGUAAGGGCAUGGGUGCUAAGGUCCGUGCCCGAGAGGAGAAGAAUCCAGACCACCGGCUAAGGUCCCGAAAUACUGGUUAAGUUAGACUAACGCAGUCCGGCCCCCAAGACAGCUAGGAUGUUGGCUUGGAAGCAGCCAUUCAUUCAAAGAGUGCGUAACAGCUCACUAGUCGAGGAGCUGGGCGUGGAUAAUAAUCGGGUAUAAAACCAGUUACCGAAGCCGUGGGAUGCUUAAGCAUCGGUAGGGGAGCAUUGCAUGCGGCUUAGAAGGCGGGGCGCGAGCCCCUCUGGAGCGCAUGGAAACGCAAAUGUAGGUAUAAGUAACGACAAGGGGGGUGGGAUGCCCCCCCGCCGAAAGACCAAGGUUUCCUGAACAACGCUAAUCGGUUCAGGGUCAGUCGGGUCCUAAGCAUAAGCCGUAUGGCGAGGGCGAUGGAUGAAACGGUUAAUAUUCCGUUACUGUCUUGGUGUGUGACGCGGCGACGGAGUAGUGACACGGCCGCCUCCUGACGGAAAAGGGGGUUGAAGCGCAAAGGUGUCGAGGAAGGCAGGCAAAUCCACCUUCCGAGCCGAAGCGCGAUAGUACGCCGCGCCCUUUUGGGCAAGGCGAUAGUGCCGGUAAUCAGACUUCCAAGAAAACCCGCUAAACUUCAGCACCAAGUCACCCGUACUCUAAACGGACACACGUGGUCGGGUAGAAUAUACUAAGGCGCUUGGGAGAUUCACGGUUAAGGAACUAGGCAAAUUGACCCCGUACCUUCGGAAUAAGGGGUCCUCGCUUUUGCGAGGCGCAGAGAAUAGGUCCAGGCAACUGUUUAACAAAAACACAGGGCUGUGCAAAAUUGAAAGAUGAAGUAUACAGCCUGACACCUGCCCGGUGCUGGAAGGUUAAGAGGAGAUGUCAUCGCAAGAGAAGCAUUGAAUUGAAGCCCCAGUAAACGGCGGCCGUAACUAUAACGGUCCUAAGGUAGCGAAAUUCCUUGUCGGGUAAGUUCCGACCUGCACGAAUGGUGUAAUGAUCUGGACGCUGUCUCAACCGUGAGCUCAGUGAAAUUGUAGUAUCGGUGAAGAUGCCGAUUACCCGCGAUGGGACGAAAAGACCCCGUGAACCUUUACUAUAGCUUAACAUUGAAUUUGGGUAAUUGAUGUGUAGGAUAGGCCGGAGGCUUCGAAGCAGGUACGCCAGUAUUUGUGGAGCCGCUGUUGAAAUACGGCCCUUUGAUUAUUUGAGUUCUAACCCGUUGAUGCGGGGACACUGUUUGGUGGGUAGUUUGACUGGGGUGGUCGCCUCCAAAAGUGUAACGGAGGCUUCUAAAGGUGCCCUCACGACGAUUGGUAACCGUCGGCAGAGUGUAAUGGCAUAAGGGCGCUUGACUGGGAGACUUACAAGUCGAUCAGGUAGGAAACUAGAGCAUAGUGAUCCGGUGUUUCUGUAUGGAAAGGACAUCGCUCAAAGGAUAAAAGGUACUCCGGGGAUAACAGGCUGAUCCCUCCCAAGAGCUCAUAUCGACGGAGGGGUUUGGCACCUCGAUGUCGGCUCGUCACAUCCUGGGGCUGGAGAAGGUCCCAA
Molecule: ribosomal RNA, 2004 nt
Filed under: human gut metagenome
Description: bacterial LSU rRNA
Rfam family: Bacterial large subunit ribosomal RNA
Source: RNAcentral